AUACGUAGGGUGCGAGCGUUGUCCGGAAUUACUGGGCGUAAAGAGCUCGUAGGUGGUUUGUCGCGUCGUCUGUGAAAUUCCGGGGCUUAACUCCGGGCGUGCAGGCGAUACGGGCAUAACUUGAGUACUGUAGGGGAGACUGGAAUUCCUGGUGUAGCGGUGAAAUGCGCAGAUAUCAGGAGGAACACCGGUGGCGAAGGCGGGUCUCUGGGCAGUAACUGACGCUGAGGAGCGAAAGCAUGGGUAGCGAACAGGAUUAGAUACCCUGGUAGUCCAUGCCGUAAACGGUGGGCGCUAGGUGUAGGGGUCUUCCACGACUUCUGUGCCGUAGCUAACGCAUUAAGCGCCCCGCCUGGGGAGUACGGCCGCAAGGCUAAAACUCAAAUGAAUUGGCGGG
Molecule: ribosomal RNA, 397 nt
Filed under: uncultured bacterium
Lineage: Bacteria
Description: partial 16S ribosomal RNA
Rfam family: Bacterial small subunit ribosomal RNA
Source: RNAcentral